This 1321-nucleotide ribosomal RNA is filed under the name Platyneuromus soror. Its description in RNAcentral is "16S ribosomal RNA". The stretch from base 1077 to 1235 matches the Rfam family "Archaeal large subunit ribosomal RNA", at positions 2544 to 2703 of the family's 2987-position model. Lineage: Eukaryota; Metazoa; Arthropoda; Insecta; Megaloptera; Corydalidae. The record is from RNAcentral.
AAUGAAUUAAUUAUUAAUAUUAUUUUUUUUUGUUAGAUAAAUUAAUAUAAAUAAAUUUAUUGAUUUUUAUUUUUUGUAUAUUUUAUAGAUAAAAUAAUUUUUAUUAUAGUUGAUUAGUAUUGAGAAAGAAAUUUGAAAAAUUAAAUAAUUUAUAGAAAAGUAGAAUUUAUUUUUUGUACCUUUUGUAUCAGGGUUUAUUAAUAAAAAUUUAAUGAUAUUAAUUAUCUCGAAUUUAAGAGAGCUAAUGAAUUAUGAUAGUUUUUGUUUCAUAAAAAUUAUUAAUUAUUUAUUAGAAAUGAAAUGUUAUUCGUUCUUAAAUAUAUCUAGUUUUUUAAGAAAUAAAUUUAAUUUAUAUAUUAAUUAAAUAAUUUUUUUUUUAAAAAAAAAUAAUUAAUUAUUAAUUAAUAUAAAUGUAUUAAGGGAUAAGCUUUAAUAUAAAAUUUAUAAUUUUUUUAUAUUAUAAUUAAUUGUAGAUUUAGAAAUAGUUAACAAUAGAGAUUUUGUAUUAAUUUAUAAAAUAGAUAAUAAUAUUUAUAUAAAAAUUUAAUUUAAAUAUUAAAAUAUAAAUUUUAAUUAAAAAAAUUUAGUAAUAAUGAUAAAAUUAGUAUAUUUAAUUUGUUUGAAUGUGGAUAGAUUAAGAGAUUAAUUUAAGGAAUUCGGCAAAAUAAUAUUCACCUGUUUAACAAAAACAUGUCUUUUAGAUAAUAAUUUAAAGUCUGGCCUGCCCACUGAAUAUUUUGAAGGGCCGCGGUAUAUUGACUGUGCAAAGGUAGCAUAAUCAUUAGUCUUUUAAUUGAAGGCUUGUAUGAAUGGUUGGAUGAGAUAUUAACUGUCUCAAUUUAAUAAUAUAGAAAUUAAUUUUUAAGUUAAAAAGCUUAAAUAAUAUUAGAGGACGAGAAGACCCUAUAGAUCUUUAUAAUUUAUAAAUUAAUAAAUAUUUUUGAAAAUAGAAUUAUUAAUUUUAUAAAUUAUUUUGUUGGGGUGACAAAUAAAUUUAAUUAACUUUAUUUAAUAUAAACAUUUAUUUAUGAAUAAUUGAUCCAUUUUUAGUGAUUAUAAGAUUAAGUUACCUUAGGGAUAACAGCGUAAUUUUUUUAGAGAGUUCAUAUUGAUAAAAAAGUUUGCGACCUCGAUGUUGAAUUAAAGAUUAAUUUAGGUGUAGAAGUUUAAAUUUUUGGUCUGUUCGACCAUUGAAUCUUUACAUGAUUUGAGUUCAAACCGGCGUGAGCCAGGUUGGUUUCUAUCCUUUAUAAAUUAAGAUAUUUUAGUACGAAAGGACCAAAUAUUUGAAAAAUUUUUUUUAGUUUGAAUAGUAUUAAUU